ACUAGAUAUACAACACGGGAAACCUCACCCGGCCCGGACACGGACAGGAUUGACAGAUUGAGAGCUCUUUCUCGAUUCCGUGGGUGGUGGUGCAUGGCCGUUCUUAGUUGGUGGAGCAAUUUGUCUGGUUAAUUCCGAUAACAAACGAGACUCUGGCAGGCUAACUAGUUACGCGACACCCGAGCGGUCGGCGUCCAACUUCUUAGAGGGACAAGUGGCGUUCAGCCACCCGAGAUUGAGCAAUAACAGGUCUGUGAUGCCCUUAGAUGUCCGGGGCC
This 278-nucleotide non-coding RNA is filed under the name Pygoscelis adeliae (Adelie penguin). Its description in RNAcentral is "Eukaryotic small subunit ribosomal RNA". It matches the Rfam family "Eukaryotic small subunit ribosomal RNA", at positions 1193 to 1488 of the family's 1831-position model. Lineage: Eukaryota; Metazoa; Chordata; Aves; Sphenisciformes; Spheniscidae. The record is from Rfam by way of RNAcentral.